ACAUUUUAGCUUUUAAUAGAGCUACAGCAGGUAAGUGAGGCAUUUUCUUCUUGCAUUCAUUGCCGACUUCCUUAACAAACUUGCCAACGAAAAUGGCAGCCAAUUAUGACAUGUGGGCAGAUACCGUAUAUAAAAUUAAUGAAAUUCAUUUCCAAUUCUCACUUCCAGUGGUCUAUAAUUAGUUUUUAAGUCAGUAUAGUUUUUAAAUUCGUAAAUUUUUUAUUCAUGCAUUAAAUAAUGCAAGCAAUGACAUAUUCCACUUUUACAGUACUUCUGACUAUUAAAGCUGUUAGUUUUGUAGUUUUGAAUUUACAUGUAUGCUAUUUUUAUGAUAAUUAGAAUGUCACGAAAAGCUAUCAGUAUUGUUCAUGGUGGUGGACGAAACUCUGGAUGCUAUAUUUGGAGAUGUUGAUAACAUUUCCCCAAGACUAGAUUAUUAUCAACUCUUUAUUUCCCUUGGCACUACUUAAUGUGACACCAGUAUAUUUCCAGAAUGACAUUCCUGUCAAAUUAUUUUUAGAGAUGAAAAUAGGCUAUACAAAGUUCUUUGUAAACAUUAAUGCAAAACUCAACAGAGUAACCUGAAAUCAAAUGUGUGGCUAAACAAGCAUUUAUUCAUGUUUGAACUGUUUUUUUUACAUUUUUGCUUGAGUUAUGAACAUUAUAAAUUGAAGUACAA
Molecule: long non-coding RNA, 679 nt
Organism: Amphimedon queenslandica
Lineage: Eukaryota; Metazoa; Porifera; Demospongiae; Haplosclerida; Niphatidae
Exons: 4
Source: RefSeq, a predicted model, not a curated record